AAUUAUGAUAUUACGUCGAACUAUGGAAGCUUCUAGAACCACUGAUAGUUAAUGCUGUUGCAAAGCGAGCUUGUGAGCUAGCAGUAUAAUUUUGCUGGUCGUCCUGAUUUACGUAAUCGAAAGAAAUGUUUGUAGAGCAUGCUUUGGCAUGCAAAUAAAGCUCCAGGUGUAAGAAUUUGAUUUUUUAAUGAUCGUUGUAAGCUUGUGCCUAUUGCAAUUCUUUCGACGGUUCCUCCAAUUCCGACAUAUAGUCUUUUACCAUGUGCCGUUGCAAAAAAUGCUAUUCAGCAAUAAAACCAAAAUCGCUAAUGUGAUGAGGACUAGAUUUGUUUUAGUGGACAACAGAUAUAGUAUCCAUGUGUCGGUGAUGCCUUGUGCAAGGCCGCAUGUCCGCCGCGUAAUGCCUGCAGGAUUAUUGUAAAAAAAGAAAUCAGGCCAAGAGUAGACUUCAUUGCAGUAAUAUGGGUUGAUAGCGGUUCAGUUCUUCGACCGUCGUAACAGAGCGCGUCGCUCCGUCCAUUCACCUGCGACGGGGACACAUUCGCUACCUUCGGUACUUCACUGUGAAUUUAAUAUGCGUCGCACCAUUCUACAGAACAUAUAUUUUUGUACAGAAAAGUCCAAAAUAAGAAUUUGUUUAUAAUUCUCAACGUUGUAGAAACAAUUCUUUAAUCACAUCAAAAUUUAGUUAAAAAGAAUGAUCCUUUCCGAGUACAAUGGAAAAAAAUGCAUCUCAAUACGAGCAAUAGUUUCCGAGAUCAAAAUUCCUACGUUCCGCCCAUUUUCACAAAAAUGGGCAAAAAUCGUGGACGUAUACGUGAAAAAUGAAUACACAACAAAAAUCGUUCGAUCCAUUUAAUAUUUAUACAAAAAAAAUGUAAUUUUGUGUGGAAAAAUGAUAAGGCAUUUUGAAUAUGAAAUAACAAAAGCAUUCAAAUGAAUUAAAGUUAUAUAGUUUAAGUUAUGGUAAUGUGAGGACUGUUGUAAAAUUUAUUCAAAGCUGUGUGAAUAGCGCUAUCUACUUAAAAUUAUUCAAGGAACAGAUAGAGACUUACGCUCACAGAAUUGCUGAGACAAAAUAUAUAUUUCAGAAAAUCUUAAUGGAUAAGUCUCAAUCGAACAUUAUAUGAAGGUGGAAAAGUGUAUAAUGCAGUAUCCGAAUUAAAAUUUGCAAUUUUAGAAGCUCGAAAAAGCUUGGAUCAAAAGUAUAUAAAGGAUCUGUAUAGAAGUUUACCAAGAAGAAUAAUCGAAAUGAUACAUUGUAACGGACAGUCCACACAUUGCUAAAACUUAAACAUACUAUAUAAUUUUAUUUUAUUUGAAUGCUUUUAUUAUUUCAUAUUCAAAGUACCUUAUAUUAUCCACGCAAAAUUUCACACCUUUUGUAUAAAUAACAAAAGGAUCCAACGAUUCAUUUAAUUUCUUCAUAUAUUACGUCAAAACUAUUACUUUAUUUUAUUGUGUAAACUUUUUCCGCGUAUAUGUAACAAAUAUAUGUCUUUAUCUAACAAUCUUAA
Molecule: long non-coding RNA, 1517 nt
Organism: Megalopta genalis
Lineage: Eukaryota; Metazoa; Arthropoda; Insecta; Hymenoptera; Halictidae
Source: RefSeq, a predicted model, not a curated record